AACGAACGCUGGCGGCAGGCCUAAAACAUGCAAGUCGAGCGGGCAUAGCAAUAUGUCAGCGGCGGACGGGUGAAUAACACGUGGGAACAUGCCCUUUGGUACGGAACAACUCAGGGAAACUUGAGCUAAUACCGUAUGUGCCGGUAACGGGAAGAUUUAUCGCCAAAGGAUUGGCCCGCGUCCGAUUAGCUAGUUGGUGAGGUAACGGCUCACCAAGGCGACGAUCGGUAGCUGGUUUGAGAGAACGAUCAGCCACACUGGGACUGAGACACGGCCCAGACUCCUACGGGAGGCAGCA
This 298-nucleotide ribosomal RNA is filed under the name uncultured bacterium. Its description in RNAcentral is "partial 16S ribosomal RNA". It matches the Rfam family "Bacterial small subunit ribosomal RNA", at positions 29 to 353 of the family's 1533-position model. The record is from RNAcentral.